GGACUUUUCAAGCGUAGUGAGUGAGAUGAUGGGAGAUGCCUGAGAGCUCUCGUGGUGGUUGGAGCUCAGCUUCCUCCAACCAAAAUUGGUGUUGGGGCAGAGGCAGAGGAGAGCAGCAGCUAUUUGAUCCUGGCUUUAUCCCUUCUCCAGACCCUGUGGAAGCUUGUCUGCUGGAGUCCUCAUCUAACUGCUCUCUGCCCCUUGGAGUGAGAUCAUUGUUUUGCUAACAAGUUUUGGGGUGGAAAAGAGUCCUGUGGAUUUGUUCCAGAAUAUUGUCCGUUUAACUGAGGCUCACUCAUUGGAGAAACAGGGUGCUGUGGCCACACUAGGGAGGAAGUAACUGGCCCAGUGUUCUCACCUCAGCAGGACAGCACGGAAUGACCCAGAAUGACCCCGUUCGGGAUGGUCCUUGGCAUCGCCCUCUGUCUCUGACCUGUGGCAGAGGAAAGAAGGAGCAAGAAACACGGUGUCAGAGAGAGGGAUAAAUUAAGAGGCCAAACAUAAAGAACAUGAAGAACACUCAUGAUUGUUUUGUUAUUAGAAUUUGGGUUUACAUAUGUGUAUGUAUCUUGGAAGGAUAUUGUAAGGAAUAAAAUCAUUUUAUAUGUAUAAA
Felis catus (domestic cat) is the source of this 613-nucleotide long non-coding RNA. RefSeq lists it as uncharacterized. Lineage: Eukaryota; Metazoa; Chordata; Mammalia; Carnivora; Felidae. The transcript is spliced from 3 exons. The record is from RefSeq and is a predicted model, not a curated record.